CCGCCUUCGUCUAAUCUGUCCGCCAUUUUUGUCUACUAUGUCCGCCUUUGAAAAUCAAAAUCGCCAAUUUCGUCUACUCUGUCCGCCAUUUUCGUCCAAUAUUCUUGAAAGAUCCGAAAUUGGUUGAAAACAAGUCUAAGAGCUUGCAUAAUCUUCUAACAAUGAAUAAACAAAGUUCGAAGAAGCAUAAAACAUAAAAAGAGGCACAUGCAAAGACACCCAAGAAGAGGGGUAGAAAGCUUGCAAUGGCCAUAUCCAGACCUCCACUGCCAUCAAUUGGGCAGCAUUGGAUGCAUAUAAAGACAAGAAAACUGGAGAACUUUUGGGUCCACAACAUUCGUUUAAUGUGGAGUUUGCUCAAGACAACAUGCAACAAAUAAGUGAUAGCCUAAUUUCUGAGUGACAAAAUCAACAUGUCAUGUAAUAGUUUUGAGAGUAGCUAUCUUCGCAAAAGAUAUGCGAUACUUUUAUUGAAGUAUGGUCUCGACAAGAUGAAUGCUGGAUAUGUUAGCAACAGUGAUGACCCUCCAAGAAUGAAGAAUGUAUUAAACCCAUCAUCUGAAGAUGAAAUUGUUAA
Molecule: long non-coding RNA, 577 nt
Organism: Solanum pennellii
Lineage: Eukaryota; Viridiplantae; Streptophyta; Magnoliopsida; Solanales; Solanaceae
Exons: 4
Source: RefSeq, a predicted model, not a curated record